AAGUAGUAGAAAACUUUUUCAAAACUAUUGUAGAUUGGCGGCAUUUUUUAUAUUAGAGGAACCUGCUAAGUAAUCGAUAAUCCACGUUAAAUUUCACUUUUAUUUAUAUUUUAUAUACCUCCAUCUCAAGAAUUUAUUUUUAUAAUAUUAUUCACAAAAGAUAACUAGCAAGUUAGGUAAAGGUGUAGACAACAUAAAAGAUAUAGUGGGUUACUUUAAAUAUUAUUUAAGGAAAAAUAAUAAAAAUUAUUUUAUAAAAAGGAUUUAUAAGUAAUGUUUUAAUAAUAUUAAAAUUUGAAAAUAAAAAUAAAUGUGC
RNAcentral lists this ribosomal RNA (316 nucleotides) under Herennia multipuncta. Its description in RNAcentral is "partial 12S ribosomal RNA". Lineage: Eukaryota; Metazoa; Arthropoda; Arachnida; Araneae; Nephilidae. The record is from RNAcentral.